Molecule: ribosomal RNA, 513 nt
Filed under: uncultured fungus
Lineage: Eukaryota; Fungi
Description: SSU rRNA
Rfam family: Eukaryotic small subunit ribosomal RNA
Source: RNAcentral
AGCAGCCGCGGUAAUUCCAGCUCCAAUAGCGUAUAUUAAAGUUGUUGCAGUUAAAAAGCUCGUAGUUGAAUUUCGGGAUCAAUAUGUCGGUCGUGCCUUCGGUACGUACUGGCAUCAUUGAUUUCUCCCUUCUGACGAACCACGAUGUCAUUAAUUUGGUGUCAUGGGGAGUCAGGACUGUUACUUUGAAAAAAUUAGAGUGUUUAAAGCAGGCUCACGCUUGAAUACAUUAGCAUGGAAUAAUGAAAUAGGACGUUUGACCCUAUUUUGUUGGUUUCUAGGAUCAACGUAAUGAUUAAUAGGGAUAGUUGGGGGCAUUAGUAUUCAAUUGUCAGAGGUGAAAUUCUUGGAUUUAUUGAAGACUAACUACUGCGAAAGCAUUUGCCAAGGAUGUUUUCAUUAAUCAAGAACGAAAGUUAGGGGAUCGAAGACGAUCAGAUACCGUCGUAGUCUUAACCAUAAACUAUGCCGACUAGGGAUCGGAUGAUGUUAAUUUUUUAAUGUACUCUAUUC